GACGAACGCUGGCGGCGUGCUUAACACAUGCAAGUCGAACGGAAAGGCCCAGCUUGCUGGGUACUCUAGUGGCGAACGGGUGAGUAACACGUGGGUGAUCUGCCCUGGACUCUGGGAUAAGCCUGGUAAACUGGGUCUAAUACCGGAUAUGACCUUACAUCGCAUGGUGUUUGGUUGAAAGCUUUUGCGGUUCUGGAUGGGCCCGCGGCCUAUCAGCUUGUUGGUGGGGUAAUGGCGUACCAAGGCGACGACGGGUAGCCGACCUGAGAGGGUGAUCGGCCACACUGGGACUGAGACACGGCCCAGACUCCUACGGGAGGCAGCAGUGGGGAAUAUUGCACAAUGGGCGCAAGCCUGAUGCAGCAACGCCGCGUGAGGGAUGACGGCCUUCGGGUUGUAAACCUCUUUCACCAGGGACGAAGCGUGAGUGACGGUACCUGGAGAAGAAGCACCGGCUAACUACGUG
Molecule: ribosomal RNA, 466 nt
Filed under: uncultured bacterium
Lineage: Bacteria
Description: partial 16S ribosomal RNA
Rfam family: Bacterial small subunit ribosomal RNA
Source: RNAcentral